This 2732-nucleotide long non-coding RNA is filed under the name Salvia miltiorrhiza (redroot sage). Its description in RNAcentral is "long non-coding RNA (SMIL_LNC004598)". Lineage: Eukaryota; Viridiplantae; Streptophyta; Magnoliopsida; Lamiales; Lamiaceae. The record is from RNAcentral.
GGCUUGAAAGGGUAAUCGGGGGGGAAAUGAAUAGUGACUAAAAACACUCCUCCCGCAUACGGACUAUCCUGUGGACCCAUUAUCGUUGCCUGCCAGUGAAACAUGUCUUCACCAACAGGUCCUGUUACAAUACCAAAUGAGUAUGAUUUCCAACUAGCAACCACAAUAGUUAAAUAAAGAAAAGGUACUUUAUAAAAACACGACUCGACACCAAAUGAUUUAUGAAUGGCUUCACAAAGUUGCAAGUUAGAUAUGAUCUGAAAACAGCAUAGCUCCAAUUAAAGUGUUUGCAGCAACCUUGCUAUCAUUAAAACACCUAAAAUUCUAGUCUUCCCCACCCCCCACCCCCUUACCUUCUUAGCAGUUGGGUUGGCCUUCUCAACUUCCACUCAACAUCAAUGAUUACAGUUAGCAAAGAUUUUUCAGAAAAUGGUCAAAAACAACAAAAUUAGCCAACCCCACAAGACAUCGUGCCAUCUAAAGAUUAUUUAUCGCAAGAUUUUUACAAGACAAAAUGCAUAAAACAUCCAAACUAAAGUUCUCAAAAAAAAAAAAAAACAUCUAAAGUAAUAAACCAGGGAAGCCCAGAUGAUAAAAAUGUCAUUUUCUUGCACAUAUACAUUCGAAUGUCAUGGAUCCACCCUAAGAAUUCUCAAUCAGCAAAAAAAAAUACAAUAACCAACAAAAAAACGCAUAUGGACUCGCCAAAUAAAGCUAAAUUAAAUUAAGGAAAACCAAAAUUGAGAGAAACACCUGCGCUGCAAGAAGUUGGGGGAUCCUUCUGCAAAUCCUUGAGCUCCUUCAAGAUCCGUUUGGAAGCCAUCGAAGAAAAAUCCGAUCUUUUGACUAUCUUCGAGAGACCCAGAAAGAAAAAUAAAAUCAAAUUGAGAGAUGUAAACAAGGCAAAAACGCGCAGCGUUUGGUGAGAAUUUUACCUGCCGAGAGAGAAGAGAGAGAGGCGAAGACUUGCUCAGUUGAUUCGCCUUUUUGCUUCUUGUUCAGCUGCCGCUUCUUGAUCUUGACGCGAUGAAACUGAUUUUGAAGAAUAUAGCACUCAAUAUUAAUUAAUUAUUAAUAUAAAAUUAAAAUAUAAGUGCAAGAUUUUACUAUACUUUUUUUCCUUCAAAUGAUUGGACUCUUUUCAUUUGAUAUCGGGUUGUCUUGUUUCCCCUCCAAUAAUUUGUUAAUACAGUUCACAAAAUCUAAAAUAAAUAAAAAGAAUGUAAAAUAUGACAUAUUUUAUUUAGUUUGUUGUUAUGACAUUGUACCAUAUUAAUUUAGUGUCUCGCCUUCAAAUUUUUCUAUUUUUACUUAUUAUGUUUUAGUUUAAUUUUAUGAUUAUUAGUUAUUUGUUCCAGUUUACUAUAUUAUUCUUAUUAUCGUUUAAUUUCAUUUUUAUUAAUUAAUUAUAGGUUGAUAAAUUUAAAGUCAUGAUACGUAGUGAUUUUUUAAAUUUUAAAAUUUUAUAAUUCAUAAUAUUAUACUCCCCGGUCUCCUUGUUAUUGUCCUAUUUAUUAUUUUAAGUUGUGUAAUUAUUAUUAUCUCGUUUUCAUAAAAAGUAAUAAUUAACUCUUUAUAAGGUGUGAGUCCUACCACUUUUAAUUAAUUUACAUAUUUUUUUUAAAUCGUGUGUCUAAAUGUUUUGGGACAAUGAUAUGGAAGGAGUAAUGAAUAUUAUUUUUAUGAAAAAUAUACUAUUAAAAUUAGUGAUAUAAUAAUAGGAGACGAUACACACAUAAAAUUGUGGAAUGAUUUUUCAGAAAAAGAGAAUAAAUUAUUUUACCCAUCUCCCCAAAAAGCAUGUUUUUCGGGUCAUUUUUUGUUGCUAUGUUAUAAAAUGAAAAGCACAAGAAAAAAAAAAUUAACAAGUGAGUAUUGAUAAAUAAAAGUAAUAAUUUUUAUACUAAAAAAUAACAAUAGUAAAAACGAAAGUUGCUAUGAAUAAAAGUAGAUUAUACAAAAAAGUAACAAAUAUUAUGAUUAAAAAUUUAAUAGCGACUUCCCCUCAAAAAAAAAAAAAAUUACUAGCUACAAUUGCACUUCGUGAAACAAUUUUUAAAAUUUCUAUUUAUCCAAUCCAAAAAUAACUAAAUAAGUGACAAUUACAAAAGUGAUAUUAAUAAAUGUGACAAUAUUAAGACGAUGAAGCGCAGUCUGUUGGUAAGACGCUUCCCCUCCAACCAAUAGGUCGGGGAUUCGAGUCACCUUAGGAGUUAGAGUGUGAGUGGGUUUUUUCCUUUCUUUGAUUGUAACAAAUUUUUUUAAAAAAAAUGUGACAAUAUUAAUGAAUAAAAGUGAUAGUUUAUAUAUACAAAAAUAAAUAGAUUGGAUUCAGAUACGAUUUUAGGUCAAGGUCAAGUCGGACCUGAGUCUGAGUCGAGUCCGAUCCGUGCGAUCCUUUUUAGUAAACGCUCCAAAAUUCGGGCCACAAACAAUACUAACCCAUUUCAUAUGCAGAUUGGGCUUUCAAGAAAACACAAAAGCAUUGAAAUUGGAGUAAUUCAAAGCAAAAAAUAAGACUGCAAAUUUACCUAAAAUGAAAUCAAAACAAGAAUUGAUAAUAAACCAAAUUCCAUACCAACAGUUCAAACGCAUGAUUUUGCAGCAGUUUUCAAGACUCUUAUACAUCAGUCCGUUGCAGGAACAGAGAGAAACAACACAUCAUUUUUUACAUAAUAAUAAUGCAAAUCUAAAUUCUUGAGGGCAUUAACCCAUGGCAUACUUCUGAGUCC